This 63-nucleotide non-coding RNA is filed under the name unclassified sequences. RNAcentral describes it as "DUF3085 RNA". It matches the Rfam family "DUF3085 RNA". The record is from RNAcentral.
CGGUAGCUGGUAGCACCGGACAUUGCGUCCAAGCCAGCAAGUUAUCAACUCAACCCUUCCGGG